RNAcentral lists this unclassified non-coding RNA (369 nucleotides) under Hevea brasiliensis (rubber tree). The record is from RNAcentral. Lineage: Eukaryota; Viridiplantae; Streptophyta; Magnoliopsida; Malpighiales; Euphorbiaceae.
UUGUGAUGUUAUGUCAACAAUAUUUUGGUCCAUUUUUACGUAUCAUGCAAGAUGAUGGUGGAUGAUGUUCGGGGCGAUGGGUGCAGUGUUUCAAGGUAAAAGAAGAAUAAUUUUCAGAUUGGUGGAGGUUGAUGCAGCUUUCUGUGUGGGCAAGAGCAACUGAUGGGUAUUUAGGUGAGGGAGUGGUGCAUCAUGUGUGUAGAGUGGAAUUUGGGGUUUUUGUUGUACCGGUGGUGUGAAGUUAUUCUUUGGAGGUGGCGAGAUGUGUGUGAAGCAUUGAAGAGAGGGAAAGGGAUAGGAGAUGGGUUCAUUGUCUUGCAUAUGGUGUGAGCUUGCAUUCGAAGCAAGGGUGAGGUGCUAAGAUGGAAG